GAAGGUAUAGCUCAAUGGUACAGCGCAACACUUAGCCUGCAUGAGGUCCUGGGUUCAAUCCCCAGUUCCUCCA
This 73-nucleotide transfer RNA is filed under the name Camelus bactrianus (Bactrian camel). It matches the Rfam family "tRNA". From Rfam's summary of the family: Transfer RNA (tRNA) molecules are approximately 80 nucleotides in length. Their secondary structure includes four short double-helical elements and three loops (D, anti-codon, and T loops). The record is from Rfam by way of RNAcentral. RNAcentral also lists the same sequence under 2 other names. Lineage: Eukaryota; Metazoa; Chordata; Mammalia; Artiodactyla; Camelidae.